This is a long non-coding RNA of Ictalurus punctatus (channel catfish), 1764 nucleotides long. NCBI's taxonomy places the organism in Eukaryota, Metazoa, Chordata, Actinopteri, Siluriformes, Ictaluridae. The record is from Ensembl.
GUCCAAAAGACUAUACAAAUAAAACUGCAUCACAUAGAUUAUUAUUAAUAAGCAUGCAGUUCUUACUUUUCAGACAUUAAUGUAAAUGUAUCCGAUGCAUGUAUGCCUGAUAUACAAUGAUCAGAGUGCAAAUCAUUAAGAUAUUGCUCUUAACAUUCAAUUUUUUGUUUAAUUAACCUGAUGGUUAAAUUAGUCAUCGCCAGACUAUAUAAGAACUAGACAAUUACACAAUAUAAGAAUGUCAGUGUCAGCUAUCACAAGGAUCUUAAUGAAUUGUUUGUGCAUCGAUAGCUUGGUGAAAAUCCAGGCAGGUCUACCCCGCUGAGGCAAUGGGACACAUUAUAACAAAUUGAAAUGGCUGUUGGGCCUGCUUAACUAAGAAUUAAUAAAAAAGAAAAACAAGCCAAAAUCGCCAAAGCAGCCUCCGCAAUGCACUGGUCUCCUUUAUAAAGACAUCUGCUGAUGACACACUUUGGAAAGGCCUGCUCAUGCGGAGGCUGGCAAACAAAUCGGUCUAACGAGAUUGGGCUACAUGACGGCCUGCUGUAAGAGAACGACGCGGGGUCCCACACAACCUGCCACUGAGCGGGACGCCACAAAGCUGCCUGGGCCUGCCACAAACAUGUGGCCUAACACAGGCAGGGUGGCAGAAUACCAUUAAGGCCUGAAAUCCAGUCUACAUGCUAUUCUCUCUCAGGCAACCACCAGCUCAGCAAGGUCCUCCAAUCUGGCACAAAUUGUAUUAGCUGUUUUGCUCCUGUUUUGCAAAAUAUUUUUAAAAUACAGUACAUAAUUUAUAUAUUCUAGUACUACUAGGUGGGAUGUAGAGUAAUAUGGUAAGUAAAAUGUUGACAUGACUAUCUCUGGCACAUGUUGCUGUUUGAACUUCAACUUGUGUAAUUACAGAGUUUGCUUCAGGUGACACAUAUGCACCCUGCUAUAAGAUUCACAGUGUGGCAUGGGGUGUACCGGGCUACUAGGCAGUGUGGCAGACCCUUGGCCAGACAGUCCAUUGUACAUGAGGUCAGAGUCUGUGUGCAAACACAGAUGCCUACACACCGCCACAGCCCAGAGAGCACACACCCAGGCACAGUGGCUUUUGCACAGUGGUGGUGCAACUAUGUGAAUCACAGGUGGGGUGUCGGCCUCCAUCGAAUAAGCUAGUUCACUAAGGAUGGGAUUUGGCGCUGUUAUUUUUCUAUUAGAGGGGAAUUAUGCUAAGCACUUAGAAGCCGUCAUGGCGUUGCUAUGGCAGCCCGUACUUCCUGCGGGGUUGCGACCUUGAAUGACUACACCAGUGCAAAGCCGGGUACCACAGAUAUCCUUUGAGGAUUAGAAGUACAGCUUCACAGUAACGCAAAAAUGCUUCAGAUAUUAUUGGAACUUGUAAUGACCAGUUUAUUGAGAUUAGCCGACUUCUUGCUAGCACUUGUCUUGUCACUCAUGCUUUGGCUAUGGCUGUAAGACGAAUCUACUGACCGUGCUAAGAAGAUGUGACGUCAUCAUCAAACUCGAGGCUGUUCUGCGCAUAUUCGGAUCAAGAACCGUUUCCGUGAAUCACAUCACGUCUUCACUUCAAUAGAAAUCGCGUAACUCACCUGCCUACAGAGCAAAGGAGUACCCUAAUAUUUUAACCUUUCUUUGCAAAAGUGCUUAUUUUCUCACAAAAGUGCUCAGAGAUUUAACAGAAGCUGGAAUAACACACGUUCAUCAUCAUGAAAUUUAAACAGUUAAAAUUAAUUUAUUUGGAAAUUUAUUUAGAAA